Poecilia latipinna (sailfin molly) is the source of this 1889-nucleotide long non-coding RNA. RefSeq lists it as uncharacterized. Lineage: Eukaryota; Metazoa; Chordata; Actinopteri; Cyprinodontiformes; Poeciliidae. The record is from RefSeq and is a predicted model, not a curated record. The transcript is spliced from 2 exons.
CCAGAUUACUGCGUCUGAGUCUGCGGGUGACUCAUCGGCUGUCGGUCUGACUACAUCUGCGGUCAUGGGUGCCCUCCUGCGAGUGUGCACGUACAUCAGCAGCAGGCUGUAACCAUGGCAAAAAAACAACCCAAUAAGUGAGCUAGAUUAUAUUACUGCUAGAGUCCUUUCCGGGUUCACAGCUGCAACAAAUAUCCUUACAACCACAAUGAUUAGAUCAUGUUUAUGAAAGAAUAAAUAAAAACUAUUAUCAGCAGACUCCUUUGAGGGGUCAUAACCCUGACUAAAUGGUUCAUACAUCUGGUAUUGAAGCAGAAAUUUAGAACAAAAAUGAACACACACAAUCUAAUCGAUUUUCAUUUUCAAAGCAACAAUUAUUCCUAAUCAAACAGGAAAUAAUGUAACAUACUGGUAAUUACAGGUAUAUUGGCAUCUACUCUGUAUAUUAGCUUAACAUUCACUAGACAGGCCACCCAAUUAAAAUUUUUCAGUAAAGAAUAUAAAAUCUUUUUGAUGUCUUCCACGGAUCUUUAACCGCAAGUCCACGGAGCCUCGAAACAAACGGCCAAAUUACCGACUCUGCAUGUCUCCUGUUUGUUCUGCGGCCUCCCGCUGACGGUCCAGUUAUUAGGACGAGGCGUGCUGAAGCAGAGACGCGUGUAAAAAUAUUAACUGGUUGAUUACUGAGGCGAUAUGCUUGCCAGUAGCUGGCUGCAAUAACAAAUGCGCUGUUGGGAGCUCGCCAGAUGUAGUUUUGAAAUUCCUUUACCGUAAGAAGAGUAGCCGGUAGAUUAAUUUUAGUUGCCGCGUCAUGACUGUUCAUGUUGAAAUAUUUUCAAAUGUCAGACUUUGCCUUUCUUGUAAUCCUUGGAUUUUUCUGUCUUUACUCCCUCGUGCCCCUUUUCUCCUUUUUCCUUAUUUCCUUCCUUCCUGAUACCGAUAACUGGGUCAUGGCUACUAGACCCGAUAGGACGGGGUCCUCUUUGUCUCGAACAGGCGGUGUUAAACGUUGGUCAAGCUUCACCGGAGUAAUUUUAUUACUCGAGUUGGUCUUUCACUCCUUUAAGAUUGGGCCGCUGGCUUCACAAUCAUUACGUGACGGGAUCACGGUGUUACAAGAUCAGUAACAGAACAUUACAGACUUUUUAUCUUCUAGUCUAAAACGCUCCUGUAAUGACGGUUCUUAACCUCAUCGCCUCCGGGGUAAAUGCUGCGAAUGUUACAGAGAAUCCUCAACACCCUGUAGUUUAUCUAUCUCAGACUAAUCACAGACGAAUGGGGAAAAUCUCAGAUUACAGCGCAUCCAGUCUGUAGCUUGUAGCUUAAUUUAAGAUGCUGUAUACACGACAAUCUGUCGUCAGCUUUAAACCGGAACUUUGAAAGCGACUACACGGCGAGCAAAAGUUAAACCCAGAGCGAUCUGGGAUAAAUUUGGGAGAGGACGCGGCCGACACAAACACGGGCGUCAGAAUUUAGCUGCAGCUCGUUUCCAGUCCAGCGGGACCCACUGGGGCCGCAACGCCAUGCGGCGGGUAGCUGAUUCAGCAUGUCGACGAUCGUGACACUUAGAAGGUGUUGAAAAGUGUGGGCAGAGCAGGUUUAGCAACGUGGCCUCUGCUCGUCCUUCGCUCUCCAGUAAUGGUCGGUAAGAAACAUCAACAGGUUCAUUGCCUUUCACACAGCCGUGUGUGGAAAAUGUACACAUUUUAAUACGGGGAGAAGGAAAAACAAAAACAGUAUCAAGGUUUAUAGUCAUGACUCGGUUGGCUUCUUUCCCUGGCUACAACCUAGCUCCGAUGUCUUCUUGCCGUUGCCGUGAUUUUCACUGACGUCAAAGAUUUUGCUGAGGGUUUUGAGGACUUUUUGAGUGAGAAAAUCAUCUUGCAUAU